RNAcentral lists this long non-coding RNA (727 nucleotides) under Mustela putorius furo (domestic ferret). RNAcentral's name for it is "lncRNA (ENSMPUG00000025107.1)". The record is from RNAcentral. Lineage: Eukaryota; Metazoa; Chordata; Mammalia; Carnivora; Mustelidae.
UCCUGAUCCAGGUUCCCUCGAAAUAUUUUUCUCUGAGUAUUUUCUGACUUCUGGGCAUAAACUCAAGAGAAGAUAUGACGUAAACCAGCACUACUCAGAGUAGGGUCUGUGGACCAGCAGCAGCCCCUGGAAGCUUGUGAGAAAUGGUAUUUCCCGGGGCCCCUUCAGAGAUCUACUGAUUCAGAAACUGUGGGCCUGGGAACCAGCUACCUGGCUUUGACAAUCUCCAGCCUUCCUAUCCAUGCCUAGCUCAGCAGCUUAUUUGCCAGAAGCCUGAAGAUUUCACUCCAAAGUCUCAGGAUGUGCCCAGGUUCUUACUGACUACGCUGCUGAAGGAGAGAUCCCAAGUGAGACCAGCAGAAGAACCGGCCAGCUGAGCACUGGUCAACACUCAGAACCACAGGAGAUAAUGAAAUGCUGGUCAUUUAUAAGUCACUUAUAAGUUAUGGGGGUCAGACUUAUAUUAAGGAAGUGGGAAUAUUACUCUUUUGGAAAGCAGAAAAGUAAUCCUUAACCAAAAUCUAGAAAGGCAUUUUGAAGCAGAUAUCCUAUUCUUUAUUAUCAUAAAAAAUGUUCAAUAAGCAAAAAACCUUAUGCCUAAAAAGUGUUCAUUGUUCCAUGAUUUUUAAAAAUUUACAAAUGAUAUAAAGGAGCAGUAAUGACAGCAAAACCCAAUGAUGUACUAAAUUAUGAUACAGGGGGUUAUUAACUUGCUUUUGGAGGUGAC